This is a long non-coding RNA of Dermochelys coriacea (leatherback sea turtle), 1160 nucleotides long. RefSeq lists it as uncharacterized. The transcript is spliced from 2 exons. Lineage: Eukaryota; Metazoa; Chordata; Testudines; Dermochelyidae. The record is from RefSeq and is a predicted model, not a curated record.
UGAGAGGCCUUCUGGAGCAGAAAGAGGCUGCAGGGAGGUAGUGUGCAACUCUGCAGUCACUUUUGAUAGCAGAGAGCCCUGAAGAGAACAGGAAGGAGCCUGGAGGACCAGGACGAAGUCCAGUGAAGGUGAGAUCGUGGGAAGACAUAGGAUUGGAGCAAGCUCGGGGGGAAGCCUGAAGAAAGGCUACUGGUGGGAAGGAGUCCAGGGAAGCAGCAGCAAGGUAUCUGACAGAUCACAACACGGCUGCUCAGCCUAGGGUCCCCAGACUGGAACCCAGUGUAGCAGAUAGGUCUGGGUUCCCCAUCAGCCGCUGGGAAGGUAGCAUGAAGCCCCCUGACAAAAGGGAUGAGGAUGAUUUAAAGCCCUGAGCGAAGGGGUGCAGAAACCUUGGGUCCAGAGCUAGGGACUGAAAACAAGAUGUAAGGAUGGGGAUGACUGAUUGUUGGACUUUGUUGUGGGGCUAAAUGUGACCUCGGAGGAGGACCAAACCAUGAGAAGAGAGACCACCACAGGACUGGAGUGACUGCCAGCAGUGGAUGCUAGAGAGGAAAGAGCUGCUGUGCCCGUGCCCGUGCCCAUGCCCAGCCAUGAGGGGGCGAACCAGAGCACGGGGUGGAAUGGAUUCUGUGCUUGGGCAGGCAGCUUUUCAGGGCAGUUUUGCAAGACAUCCCCAGCUAUUUCAAAACCAAAGCUCACAGGAAAGCGGAAACCCCCUUUCAUAGUUUCUUCCUGCGUCCAUUAAGCCGACACUGAAGAGUUAACCAGCCGGGCUAGCUUGGAGAACUGCUGUGGAGAUGUGUGCUGAGGCCAGCACCCCUGGCCAAUGCCUCAGACUUUCCGACGCAGCUAGAUUGCAACAGAUGUUAAAGCUACAUGUCAAACGCUGAGUAGAAAGAAAUGAAUCAUUUGCCUUUUCAUUCAUCAAGAUGUAAUGACUUCACCUUUUACUGGAGCCGUAAAACACUCCUCUCCCAAAGAGUAAAUGAAAGAUCCAGGCUGUGGUCUUUCUUGGGCUGACACUUCAUAUCAUUUGUUCAUAAUUAACUUUUUGCUACUGUGUUUAAUAAAUCCAUAGAGUUCAAUCUGAGCAAUGUUACUAAUGUCAUAAUAUGAAGUAACAAAAAUACUGCCCAGCUCUUUUUAAUGGUGAUUCUCAU